Molecule: ribosomal RNA, 377 nt
Filed under: uncultured bacterium
Lineage: Bacteria
Description: bacterial SSU rRNA
Rfam family: Bacterial small subunit ribosomal RNA
Source: RNAcentral
ACGAAGGCUUUCUGAGUUGUAAACCUCUUUCAGCAGGGACGAUGAUGACGGUACCUGCAGAAGAAGCCCCGGCCAACUACGUGCCAGCAGCCGCGGUAAUACGUAGGGGGCGAGCGUUGUCCGGAUUCAUUGGGCGUAAAGAGCUCGUAGGCGGCUUGGCAAGUCGGAUGUGAAACCUCCAGGCUUAACCUGGAGCCGCCAUUCGAUACUGCCAUGGCUAGAGUUUGGUAGGGGACCACGGAAUUCCUGGUGUAGCGGUGAAAUGCGCAGAUAUCAGGAGGAACACCAGCGGCGAAGGCGGUGGUCUGGGCCAAUACUGACGCUGAGGAGCGAAAGCGUGGGGAGCGAACAGGAUUAAAUACCCUGGUAGUCACCGG